This is a non-coding RNA of Erinaceus europaeus (western European hedgehog), 103 nucleotides long. Lineage: Eukaryota; Metazoa; Chordata; Mammalia; Eulipotyphla; Erinaceidae. The record is from Rfam.
UAUAUUAUAUAUAUUAUAUGCUAAAAUUGAAAUGAUACAGAGAAGAUUAGCAUGGCCCCUGCACAAGGAUGACAGGCAAAUUCAUGAAGCGCUCCAUAUUAAA